AUAUUAUUAAUAUGCUGUUUUAAUAAGGGUUAAAACUUCAGUUUUUAACAAUUGUCUCAAUAAAGAAAUUACAUAACAGGUUUUAUUUUGGAAUUGGGUUAUAUGGUGGAUGUAUUUGAAUCAAUAUUUAUAAAAUUUUAAAAUAUUAUUAAUAUACUGUUUUAAUAAGGGUUAAAACUUCAGUUUUUUAACAAUUGUCUCAUGGAUUCGUGGUAUAGCGUUACUUAAUAACAAUUAUAAACUGUAAAAUA
This 251-nucleotide small RNA is filed under the name Arabidopsis thaliana (thale cress). Its description in RNAcentral is "ATSL088460". Lineage: Eukaryota; Viridiplantae; Streptophyta; Magnoliopsida; Brassicales; Brassicaceae. The record is from RNAcentral.